AUUGAACGCUGGCGGCAGGCCUAACACAUGCAAGUCGAACGGUAACAGGAAGCAGCUUGCUGCUUCGCUGACGAGUGGCGGACGGGUGAGUAAUGUCUGGGAAGCUGCCUGAUGGAGGGGGAUAACUACUGGAAACGGUAGCUAAUACCGCAUAAUGUCGCAAGACCAAAGAGGGGGACCUUCGGGCCUCUUGCCAUCGGAUGUGCCCAGAUGGGAUUAGCUUGUUGGUGGGGUAACGGCUCACCAAGGCGACGAUCCCUAGCUGGUCUGAGAGGAUGACCAGCCACACUGGGACUGAGACACGGUCCAGACUCCUACGGGAGGCAGCAGUGGGGAAUAUUGCACAAUGGGCGCAAGCCUGAUGCAGCCAUGCCGCGUGUAUGAAGAAGGCCUUCGGGUUGUAAAGUACUUUCAUCGGGGAGGAAGGGAGUAAAGUUAAUACCUUUGCUCAUUGACGUUACCCGAAGAAGAAGCACCGGCUAACUCCGUG
RNAcentral lists this ribosomal RNA (490 nucleotides) under uncultured bacterium. RNAcentral's name for it is "partial 16S ribosomal RNA". It matches the Rfam family "Bacterial small subunit ribosomal RNA", at positions 30 to 507 of the family's 1533-position model. The record is from RNAcentral.